AACGAACGCUGGCGGCAGGCCUAACACAUGCAAGUCGAGCGCCCAGCAAUGGGAGCGGCAGACGGGUGAGUAACGCGUGGGAACCUUCCUGAUAGUACGGAAUAGCCCAGGGAAACUUGGAGUAAUACCGUAUACGCCCGUAAGGGGAAAGAUUUAUCGCUAUCAGAUGGGCCCGCGUAGGAUUAGCUAGUUGGUGAGGUAAUGGCUCACCAAGGCGACGAUCCUUAGCUGGUUUGAGAGAAUGACCAGCCACACUGGGACUGAGACACGGCCCAGACUCCUACGGGAGGCAGCAGUGGGGAAUCUUGGACAAUGGGCGCAAGCCUGAUCCAGCCAUUCCGCGUGCAGGAUGAAGGCCUUCGGGUUGUAAACUGCUUUUGUACGGUAACGAAACGGCGAGCUCUAAUACAGUUUGCUAAUGACGGUACCGUAAGAAUAAGCACCGGCUAACUACGUG
RNAcentral lists this ribosomal RNA (457 nucleotides) under uncultured bacterium. Its description in RNAcentral is "bacterial SSU rRNA". It matches the Rfam family "Bacterial small subunit ribosomal RNA", at positions 29 to 507 of the family's 1533-position model. The record is from RNAcentral.